AAGUCGUAACAAGGUUUCCGUAGGUGAACCUGCGGAAGGAUCAUUAUCGAACACACGAAGGGAACUGUCGCUGGCUUCGGCAUGUGCACGUUCUUUUCUCUCACUCACACUUGUGCACCAUCUGUAGGCCCUCGAAAGAGGAUCUAUGUUUUCCAUUCACACCGAUCGCAUGUCCAUAGAAUGUCAUAAUGAAAUACAACUUUCAGCAACGGAUCUCUUGGCUCUC
Molecule: unclassified non-coding RNA, 226 nt
Filed under: fungal sp.
Lineage: Eukaryota; Fungi
Description: partial internal transcribed spacer region
Rfam family: Eukaryotic small subunit ribosomal RNA (bases 1-46)
Source: RNAcentral